GUCACUUGCCCCUUUCUGGACUCAGUUUCCCCAUUACAAAUCGGAUGCAACAGCAUGCUCCUCUGCUGUCUGACACCGGCAGUUACUUUAGUGGCAGUAAUGGAGGUUUCAAACGCCAUCUCUCCUUAUUCAGUUCCAGGAGCCCUACAGCCUGGAAUUUUGUGUGCAUGCUCAGCAAGCAUUCUGAGCCACAUCCUCGGCCUCCCAGCUUGGCUCGUAACCGGCAGGCCUCUGGAUCCACCUAGAAGGAAUAAUUACAGUUCUGUACAGUGUA
RNAcentral lists this long non-coding RNA (274 nucleotides) under Rattus norvegicus (Norway rat). RNAcentral's name for it is "long non-coding RNA NONRATT023730". Lineage: Eukaryota; Metazoa; Chordata; Mammalia; Rodentia; Muridae. The record is from RNAcentral.